Molecule: ribosomal RNA, 465 nt
Filed under: Vreelandella stevensii
Lineage: Bacteria; Pseudomonadati; Pseudomonadota; Gammaproteobacteria; Oceanospirillales; Halomonadaceae
Description: partial 16S ribosomal RNA
Rfam family: Bacterial small subunit ribosomal RNA
Source: RNAcentral
CCUACGGGAGGCAGCAGUGGGGAAUAUUGGACAAUGGGGGCAACCCUGAUCCAGCCAUGCCGCGUGUGUGAAGAAGGCCCUCGGGUGGUAAAGCACUUUCAGUGAGGAAGAACGCCUGGUGGUUAAUACCCAUCAGGAAAGACAUCACUCACAGAAGAAGCACCGGCUAACUCCGUGCCAGCAGCCGCGGUAAUACGGAGGGUGCGAGCGUUAAUCGGAAUUACUGGGCGUAAAGCGCGCGUAGGUGGCUUGAUAAGCCGGUUGUGAAAGCCCCGGGCUCAACCUGGGAACGGCAUCCGGAACUGGCAAGCUAGAGUGCAGGAGAGGAAGGUAGAAUUCCCGGUGUAGCGGUGAAAUGCGUAGAGAUCGGGAGGAAUACCAGUGGCGAAGGCGGCCUUCUGGACUGACACUGACACUGAGGUGCGAAAGCGUGGGUAGCAAACAGGAUUAGAUACCCUGGUAGUC